GAUCAUAUUUAUCACCUCUCUAUGAUCGCGGCUG
RNAcentral lists this non-coding RNA (34 nucleotides) under unclassified sequences. RNAcentral describes it as "S4-Bacteroidia ribosomal protein leader". It matches the Rfam family "S4-Bacteroidia ribosomal protein leader". The record is from RNAcentral.